GGGCGUAUAGCUCCAACGGUAGAGCGGCUGAUUCCAAAUCAGUAGGUUACAGGUUCGAAUCCUGUUGCGCCUGCCA
Molecule: transfer RNA, 76 nt
Filed under: Bacteriovoracaceae bacterium
Lineage: Bacteria; Pseudomonadati; Bdellovibrionota; Bacteriovoracia; Bacteriovoracales; Bacteriovoracaceae
Description: tRNA-Trp
Rfam family: tRNA
About the family: Transfer RNA (tRNA) molecules are approximately 80 nucleotides in length. Their secondary structure includes four short double-helical elements and three loops (D, anti-codon, and T loops).
Source: RNAcentral